UCUGCAAAGACGACGAGAGGCAGGCCUGCUGGUCCCCCACUGCUCGCUCUGGAGGAAUGAUAUUCCCAUCACAACUCCUGCUGUAAUCACUUCUACUAAUCUUGCUCUCCCUCCUUCCCAUGUAGAUUCGCCAGAUCAUUACACAGGUUAGCUCUCCCCCGCCUGCCCACCAGUCGCAGGAUUCAAACAACGAGCCUCAAAUUAUGCUGAGAAUAAAUGGAGAUAAACAGCGAACCCAAGGAGAUAAAUAAGACGAACACCUUGAAAAGGAACCAGGAAGAAGGUCCAUAGCCCGUAUCCUGCUCCUCCAAAAGCUGUCUCCUUCUCUCAGGAGUGCCUUGCCUGUUUGCUGUUGGAUUCACUGUCUGGAGGAACACGGCUGGCACGGGAGGUGGUGAUCAGAGAAGAGGAAGGAGGUCUUGCAG
Molecule: long non-coding RNA, 425 nt
Organism: Strigops habroptila (Kakapo)
Lineage: Eukaryota; Metazoa; Chordata; Aves; Psittaciformes; Psittacidae
Exons: 2
Source: RefSeq, a predicted model, not a curated record